Long non-coding RNA from Megalobrama amblycephala (Wuchang bream), 5349 nucleotides. RefSeq lists it as uncharacterized. The transcript has 3 exons. The record is from RefSeq and is a predicted model, not a curated record. NCBI's taxonomy places the organism in Eukaryota, Metazoa, Chordata, Actinopteri, Cypriniformes, Xenocyprididae.
GAAAAGAGGUCCCUGGCAAAAGAAUUAUGAUAAUUUGGGGUCCGUGGCUUAAAAAAAAGUUUAAAAAUCCCCUGAUUUAGAUGAUGUACAUUUUAUCAUUUUUAUUUAGUUUGAUUAAAUAGCAAUUCACGUUCAUCACAGUACUACAUUUACCAUCACCUCAGUUCUAGAGCAGCUAGACGUGUCUUCUCAAGCAGUUUAUUUAAGUGUUCCCAUGUUCCUGCACAGCUGACAGCAGAGGAUGUGGUGUCAAGAUAUCCAGGACAGCCCAAUGUGAAAUGACACAACACAGGUGGACAGAUAAAAAACAGUGGAUGAACGAAGGUCUUAAGCGUUUGGGACAAGAUGAAGAAGUCAUACUGAUUUGGAACGGCAUUAUGACACAGUUGUCAUUUUUGGGUGCACUAUUCCUUUAAGAAGGCAACUCACUGACAAUUCUACUAAAAGUCAGUGCAAGAACAUCUGUUCUGAAGCAUUUUAUCAGGAAUUGUUUUCUCAUUGCAUCUGCUUCUGUCUGAGCUCAUUUGCACAAUGCACUGCUGACCUUGAGACUAAGCUCUUCUGAGAGCGUUCAAGAAUAAGAAAUUCUUUUAGGUAUAUCCCACUUGAUGUGAUAUUGGAACGCCAGCUUAAGGUCAUUAGGUUAUUGCUGUUUUGUAUCCACAGUGAGUACACAGAGAACUUUAAUAGAUUGCCAGAAGAUAGAAGAGAUUGUAUUUCUGAAGCUCGAUGCAUUAGACUCAGUACAUCUUGUGUGGCAGUUGUGUUAGUUAUGGGUUCUUAUUCACAUGAAAAUGUCAAAAGUAUUUUUAGAAGCUCUCACUUUUUGCUGGGUAAUAUAUCUCUUGUUUAUAGUCUGUAACUGAAGAGUUAUGUAACACACGUAUUAAGGAGGCAAACUUCUGUGAAUCAACAUUAUCACGGCUCAGGAUCAGAUGUGUCUGCUUCCGUCACCUGCUCUUCUCCGCGAUAACACAUUCAUCCCUGAUAUCUAACCGCAAUCCCGACUUGGCGUAAACUUGGCUUCCUUUGACUCUGCCCACAGCUUUAGUCUCGACAGCUGCCCGAGCGUUUUGAAUGUCCACCACAUUCCGAGAUCGGCUCAAAGGGAGGUGACAUUUCAAGUAUUUCCAAAGCCUCUGUUUCCCUCCUCUGGGAAAACGUUGCCCUUUUGCUCUGUUCCAGGACCAGCUAGCUCUGUCCAGAUGCUUAUCGUUAACAAUUGUGAGAUAACCAUUAAAGCUGCUCUUGCAACAGAAUAAAAGGGCAACAUCCGCCAACACCUGUUGUUUCUAUGUUAUCCACCACCCCCCGGCCCAUCCUGCACUGGACAUCCGCCUCCACGGGCCACUAGCACCCUGCCGAGCCAAACAACAUGCUGCACUUGACAUUCAUUACUUAUUGAUGCGCAGGGCUUUAAUUGCAUCUGGGGAGCUUUCAGCCUGCUUCCUCCCAGUAGCUGGCCCUCCCAUACCGACCCAAACCAGCUCAUUCAUCGUCUCAUGCUGGGCAGUGCUGGUUGACUUGCCCUUUAGCAAUGCAUGAACAAGGGUCUGCUGAGUUAGUGGUUCAUUUCCUAUGAAUAUUUCUCAUCAAAUAAAUAAAGACACUUAAAGAGUUCACACUGUAAAGAUAAUUUUGUGGCUUGGUAAUUCUUGGAAUGAGGAAUGAAUUAUGUAUUUAUUAAUUUCUAACUUCUGCAAGUUAAUUUAUUUCAAGUCAGAUUACUUAAUCUAGAUCAUUAGAUCAAUUGGCAUAUUUAGAAUGACAAUCUCACUUCUCAGGUAAAAAGAACAAUAAAUACUUGUAUGUUAUUGUGGUCACUAACCUUAUUUUUAUUCAUAAUAAAAGCUGUAACAUCAAGCUGUAACACAUGACUUUCCUAUGAAAUUUUUAGACAGUUAACCAUUUUAAUAGUCAAGCUAUUCAGUUGCAUUAGCAGCGUCUGGUGCUAAAUCCACCCACAAAGCGUAGCACCUCAAUUCCAGAGCCAAAACAUAUGGGAGGCAAGAAAUGAAAGCUCUAGCGUAAGUUCUGCCAGGAAGACUCAAUGUUACGUCACCAAUUAGUUUAGAGCUAACCAAUCAUUAUCUUGCACUUGGAGUAUAAAAAAUUGCUUGACACAUGUUUGAGUCCGCAGAUGCUGACGCAAACCUUCACCUCCAUCCUCCCAACCACCACCAGGAUGGUCCCCGUCCAUACCUCCCAGGGGGUUGGCUACGCCCCUGCCUUCAUCUUCAGGCAGGAAAUGCAGAGUCCGCAACCCUUUAGGAUCUGAGCUACGGACGGGGCCUACGCCAAAGAACUUUCUUACAACAUUUUGCUUGCUGAUUGUCACGUUAUCUUACCUCCCCGAGUCUUUCUGGUAGAACUGCUUAUUGUAGGCUGCAGGUAAUAUUUCAUGACGUAUCAUUGCCUUGUGAGAACAGAGCCAUGGAACAAAGAACAAACCAAGAAGUGUCCUGCCUUUAGUUUACUGUUACAAAAAAGAAAGAAAGAUACGAACGACUAAAUAAAAUAAAAGUGCAAACAUUCCUGAUUUGUAUGAUGGACAAACAAUCAAGCUCAAUCGAUCUAAGAGGUCAGGGUUGGUUUAUAGUUCUCAGAGGCCACAUUUACAACUGUCUGCACACCUGAGCAGACUGGCAAUUCUUUAAUAUAGAGCAAACUGUGUCAGACAAAAUAAAUAUUUCUGUUGCAGCCUUGGAUUAAAGAAAAAAAGGUACAUUGAUUUUCUUUGUACUCUAUGGCCCUGUUUACAUCUGGUGUUAGGAUGCGUUUUCGUCAAUCCGAUCACAAGUGGACAACACUAAAUACAGGUGUAAACAGUGUCUAAACAUUUUGAGCUUAUCCACUUUCGACCACUUCCAGAGGCAGUCGAAAACGCAUUCUUCAAGAUUACUUUCAUAUUGUAGAUCAGGGGUCGGCAAUUAAGUUUGGCAUCGGGCCAAAAAAAGAAUAUUUUCACCACUAGAUGGUGGGCCAGAACAUAGUCAAAUGAUCAUUUUAAUUAAUUAAUGCAACUAGAAUUGCCUGUGACAGACUGUUCCAGUGUCUUUUGUAACUGGUAGUGAGCUGUUACUCUGUGUUAAAUCCUGUAGUAGGACAGUCAUUAACAAAAACCCACAGUUGUGUGGCGGUGUCCGGGUUUUACACUGGAAAAAUUAAUAAAGCGGAGUAGUGACCUGGCAAGUAUCUUCAUUUACCAACUUGCAAAACAGACCGCCUUGCUUAAACACACAUAUGUGGCAGAUGCGUAAUGGAUAAACAUAACUAAAGAGGACUUGAAUAAGCCCAUUAAUGGCAUGUUUAAGUCAUGCUCUUAACGAACUAUGGUUUAUUUCCUCUUUCCAUAUUGUGAAUAAUAAAUGUGUAUAAUUUUAAUGAAAGACAACUAUGCGUUCUUACCUAGUUUUGUGAAUGCAAAGCCGAUGUGUCUUAUCUGCAACGAAGUUGUCGCUGUUUUCAAAGAAUAUAACUCCGUGUCUACACCGGACGUGAGCGGCGCGAUGCGACGUGUCAAAAGAUAAUAGAACCCAUUAUAAUCAGUGAUAUUGACUAUACACUGGAUGCGCUGCGACGCGAGUCAUGCGACACAACACAUUCCCGACAGUGAACGGAUUCCCCAUUCUGUUUUUGACAUAGUCCAAGUGCUUUGCAACGGUCGGUUUGUCGUGUUCAGUGUAGACAGCUUUUAGCUAUUGCGGCGCAACACUAUGCGAAAAAAGUAAUGUCUGGUAUAGACAUGGUAGAUAAUAUUAGACGGCACCACAAGACGAAGAUCUAUUUCAGAACCAGCCGCUAUCAAAAUAACAUGGCUGCUGGCGCGGGCCAGAUAUUAUUGCUGGCGGGCCAGUUUUGGUUUCGCCAACCACUGGUGUAGAUGUUCAUGUGUUCAAAUGCAUUCAAACAGCCACAAAAGACCACCUACUCUCCGCCUACUGACCUUGCUGGCUGAAGACCCAAGUUGGGUUUGAAGAAAACGUACCAAGCACAGUGUUCUUUCAUCAUGCCUGAUUUCUAAAAUGCACUCACAGCGUUCGGCGUGGCCUUGCAGCUACUCAGCCCGAUCUCCUGGCACUGUGUGUCUAGCUAUAGUACGAGUUUGCCAUGUCUGUUGUUUUGAGUUUCAUAGUCAUGCUUUUCCACUCUAUUGAUUUUAAUAUGUAUCUCUGUGUUUCUCUGAAUAGUAGAGAAACUUCAGAAGAAAAACUUCUUGCCUACAUGCAGACACUGAAGUAGGUGAAGAAAUAGAGGAAAGUUUUACUUAUUUAACUUUACUUUUGUUGAUUUUAUGUGGCAAAAAUACCAGUUGCAAAAAUCAGUAAUGAGAAACAGAAUUCUUUGAUUUAUAUUCUGACAUGGUCUUAUUCCAUCUAAAGACAUUCUUUUUUUAUAUGGCCUGUCAUAAAUAAGAGUUUGCUUGUCCCAUAUAAAGUGUGGUAUUUAUUCAUAGGGAAUGGAAAGUCAUGAUUGCAAUCCCCUGUCACAGCCACACAUGCCCCCUACAUAUUUUCCAUGGGCAUCUAAUUAAUUGUGCAGUUUUAUGGUAAUAUGGCCUCAUUCCAAACAUAAUUUGAGUGAUCCUUCAAAGGCUUCCAUUCCUUGGACCGGGUCUGAGGUCUGUGGGGAUGGGCCGGGAGGAGACUUAAUUUUACACAUGCAAAGUUAACUAUGGCACUUCAAUAGAGAACUUUACCUUCGGGAGCGUGCACCAUUAUGAAGAUAUGAGCGAUGUUCUAGAUACACUUUCACUUUUCUUGUAUUGCAUAAACUGCUCUGUUUUGAUUCUUAGAUCCUGCCUGUAUUUCCUGGAAGGCACAGAAAAUGUUUUAUAGGUAACAAAGCUAUUGACUGCUGUAUAAAUUGAUAUUCUUUCAUUUUGCAGACACUUUUAACCAAAGCGAAACCAUAAAAAUGGAAUUUGUGUAAAUGUCUCACAAAUUUACUGUGAAAAAAGGAUCAUGUCACUAUUUAAUGUGAAUAUCGACUCGAACUGGUCACGUUCACAGAAUGUUGAAAAGGAAGGAAGGGAAGUCCAUGAAAUUCAGCAGUCACUCAAAAGAGAAAUGUUGUAUGUCCAAAACAUAAAUAAAUGACAUCAAUUCAAUCAUUAAUUUUGACUGCUUUUAUUCCCUGAUUAGACAUAUUUCACUGAAAUAAGUUCAAUACAGUCAAAACUAUUAGGAUAACAGUCAUCAAAAUUGAUAAAUUAGAUCAAAAUACACUGCCUGGCCCAAAGAAAAAAAAAGUUCAUUAUUUACAUUAAGAGGUGCAUCAAUUUUUGGUCAAGAUCUUGUAUUGACAAUGCAAGAGGUGAGCACUCUGUAAAGUCUUCUCCAGCACAUC